UCUCCGUAGGUGAACCUGCGGAGGGAUCAUUACAGAGUUCUCGCCCUCGCGGGUAGAUCUCCCACCCACUGUUAUCGUUACUGUGUUGCCUUGGCGGGCCGCCGGGCCCCGCUCGGCCGCCGGCUCCGGCUGCGCGCGCCCGCCAGAGGCCCAGCAAACUCUGAAUGUUAGUGUCGUCUGAGUACUAUACAAUAGUUAAAACUUUCAACAACGGAUCUCUUGGUUCUG
This 228-nucleotide unclassified non-coding RNA is filed under the name plant metagenome. Its description in RNAcentral is "partial contains small subunit ribosomal RNA, internal transcribed spacer 1, and 5.8S ribosomal RNA". The record is from RNAcentral.